RNAcentral lists this ribosomal RNA (497 nucleotides) under uncultured bacterium. Its description in RNAcentral is "partial 16S ribosomal RNA". It matches the Rfam family "Bacterial small subunit ribosomal RNA", at positions 28 to 507 of the family's 1533-position model. The record is from RNAcentral.
GAUGAACGCUGGCGGCGUGCCUAAUACAUGCAAGUCGAGCGAACGGACGAGAAGCUUGCUUUUCUGAUGUUAGCGGCGGACGGGUGAGUAACACGUGGAUAACCUACCUAUAAGACUGGGAUAACUUCGGGAAACCGGAGCUAAUACCGGAUAAUAUUUUGAACCGCAUGGUUCAAAAGUGAAAGACGGUCUUGCUGUCACUUAUAGAUGGAUCCGCGCUGCAUUAGCUAGUUGGUAAGGUAACGGCUUACCAAGGCAACGAUGCAUAGCCGACCUGCGAGGGUGAUCGACCACACUGGAACUGAGACACGGUCCAGACUCCUACGGGAGGCAGCAGUAGGGAAUCUUCCGCAAUGGGCGAAAGCCUGACGGAGCAACGCCGCGUGAGUGAUGAAGGUCUUCAGAUCGUAAAACUCUGUUAUUAGGGAAGAACAUAUGUGUAAGUAACUGUGCACAUCUUGACGUUACCUAAUCAGAAAGCCACGGCUAACUACGUG